Molecule: ribosomal RNA, 492 nt
Filed under: uncultured bacterium
Lineage: Bacteria
Description: partial 16S ribosomal RNA
Rfam family: Bacterial small subunit ribosomal RNA
Source: RNAcentral
AUUGAACGCUGGCGGCAUGCUUUACACAUGCAAGUCGAACGGUAACAGGCCUUCGGGUGCUGACGAGUGGCGAACGGGUGAGUAAUGCAUCGGAACAUGCCCAGAGGUGGGGGAUAACGCAGCGAAAGCUGUGCUAAUACCGCAUGUGAUCUGAGGAUGAAAGCGGGGGACCAAGCAGCAAUGUUUGGCCUCGCGCCUCUGGAGCGGCCGAUGUCAGAUUAGGUAGUUGGUGGGGUAAAGGCCUACCAAGCCGACGAUCUGUAGCUGGUCUGAGAGGACGACCAGCCACACUGGGACUGAGACACGGCCCAGACUCCUACGGGAGGCAGCAGUGGGGAAUUUUGGACAAUGGGCGCAAGCCUGAUCCAGCAAUGCCGCGUGCGGGAAGAAGGCCUUCGGGUUGUAAACCGCUUUUGUACGGAACGAAAAGGCUCUGGCUAAUACCUGGGGCUGAUGACGGUACCGUAAGAAUAAGCACCGGCUAACUACGUG